CAGUAUUGUACCAAAUCAUUCCCAAAUGGCAUAGACUGCUGAGGAUUGCUUUUGUUCAGGCUGAGCUUGCUGUUUCCUUUUUGUGUCCCCAGGAUGAUGGGCUCAUGUUGAAGGUUCGAAAUUGGGCGCAGUUGGGAAAUAGUGCUGACUUGUGAAAGACACAGAAAUUUCCAAACAGUGAGUGCAGUGAGAGCUUUCUGAAGCACUUCCAGGAAAAUGCCCAUCCUGCCAGGACUCGCCCGUCCCUGGUGUAUGAGGACUGAGACCUAUAUGCACAGACUCUUUUCCCCAUGGUACUGCACAUCUGAGAUGGAGAAACUUUCACAUUUGUGGUGGCCAGGCAGCUUUUGAAGGACUUUUGGCUAGCUGGGCACGACAGUGCCUUAGGUGUUGACCUUGACAGAGCAGAAAUAUAUCUCAAUGGUGGUGGGCUAUAUGAAGAAGUGGGUUGCCAGUGCCUUCUUCCCAUUUAAACAGGCAAAAGACAGAAAAAAGAGAUGAUGGUAGACAAAUGGACCUCAGAAUGGAGUCUCAGAGUAAACCACUAGACAUCUAGAGGAAAAGUAAACAGCUCCUAAUGGUCUCACAGUUUUGGAGGUCAUAGGACUUGACUUUGCCUGUUUGAACCAAAGCAUUGUUUUACUACUCUUUUUUU
Lagopus muta (rock ptarmigan) is the source of this 655-nucleotide long non-coding RNA. RefSeq lists it as uncharacterized. The transcript is spliced from 3 exons. The record is from RefSeq and is a predicted model, not a curated record. Lineage: Eukaryota; Metazoa; Chordata; Aves; Galliformes; Phasianidae.